CUAAGGUGGGGUUCAAUGCCGGGCAAAAGAUAAAGAGAUGUAUGGCUGAGGGGAGGAGAGAAAGAACGCAAUCAAGUUUUUAUUUCUAGUAUUAAAAUUCGCUAUAUUUUUGGAUAAAAACUUAUUCAGCCUUAAAAGAAUUUAUGCAAACAUUUAAUAAAAAAAAGAAAAAGAAACAUACUUUAGAGGAAUGAAAACCAUGAGACAAGAUAACAACGUCAGUGGUUGUUCCAGAUUGAUGUAAUAUGCCAACGAGUUUUUCACCGUUUUUGUUGGGUAUUAUGAUUCUCUGAUGAUGAUGAUGCUCAAUAGCCGAAACAACAAAUGAGAGAUAAAUGAUUAAUUCAUCAAUUCUCUGUUUUUCUUUGAAAAUUUUAAUGUAACGCAUACUGAAUUUUGGAAAAUAACUAACAUGUGUUUUGUGCAGCUAGGGACAUCUUCUUCACUUCAAUCUCUUGUUUUCAAGUUGCGUUUUGCUGCCAAAAAAUGCGAACAGUGCAAAGGAGUUUAUUUCUGAUACGGUUUAUGUGGAGUGCAGCAUGUAGUCAUGCAAUAAUGGAGUAUUCAAGACUCAAGAGUCAUAAUGUCACAUUACUUCUUUAGAGCAUGGUGAUACCACCUUUUAAAAUGAUUUAGGAUUUGUC
This 644-nucleotide long non-coding RNA is filed under the name Trifolium pratense (red clover). RNAcentral describes it as "long non-coding RNA (TPRA_LNC011499)". The record is from RNAcentral. Lineage: Eukaryota; Viridiplantae; Streptophyta; Magnoliopsida; Fabales; Fabaceae.